Molecule: ribosomal RNA, 497 nt
Filed under: uncultured bacterium
Lineage: Bacteria
Description: partial 16S ribosomal RNA
Rfam family: Bacterial small subunit ribosomal RNA
Source: RNAcentral
GAUGAACGCUGGCGGCGUGCCUAAUACAUGCAAGUCGAGCGAACAGAUGAGGAGCUUGCUCCUCUGACGUUAGCGGCGGACGGGUGAGUAACACGUGGAUAACCUACCUAUAAGACUGGGAUAACUUCGGGAAACCGGAGCUAAUACCGGAUAAUAUAUUGAACCGCAUGGUUUAAUAGUGAAAGACGGUUUUGCUGUCACUUAUAGAUGGAUCCGCGCCGCAUUAGCUAGUUGGUAAGGUAAAGGCUUACCAAGGCAACGAUGCGUAGCCGACCUGAGAGGGUGAUCGGCCACACUGGAACUGAGACACGGUCCAGACUCCUACGGGAGGCAGCAGUAGGGAAUCUUCCGCAAUGGGCGAAAGCCUGACGGAGCAACGCCGCGUGAGUGAUGAAGGUCUUCGGAUCGUAAAACUCUGUUAUUAGGGAAGAACAAAUGUGUAAGUAACUAUGCACGUCUUGACGGUACCUAAUCAGAAAGCCACGGCUAACUACGUG